Molecule: ribosomal RNA, 497 nt
Filed under: uncultured bacterium
Lineage: Bacteria
Description: partial 16S ribosomal RNA
Rfam family: Bacterial small subunit ribosomal RNA
Source: RNAcentral
GAUGAACGCUGGCGGCGUGCCUAAUACAUGCAAGUCGAGCGAACAGACGAGGAGCUUGCUCCUUCGACGUUAGCGGCGGACGGGCGAGUAACAUGUAGGUAACCUACCUAUAAGACUGGGAUAACUUCGGGAAACCGGAGCUAAUACCGGAUAAUAUUUCGAACCGCAUGGUUCGAUAGUGAAAGAUGGCUUUGCUAUCACUUAUAGAUGGACCUGCGCCGUAUUAGCUAGUUGGUAAGGUAACGGCUUACCAAGGCAACGAUACGUAGCCGACCUGAGAGGGUGAUCGGCCACACUGGAACUGAGACACGGUCCAGACUCCUACGGGAGGCAGCAGUAGGGAAUCUUCCGCAAUGGGCGAAAGCCUGACGGAGCAACGCCGCGUGAGUGAUGAAGGUCUUCGGAUCGUAAAACUCUGUUAUUAGGGAAGAACAAACGUGUAAGUAACUGUGCACGUCUUGACGGUACCUAAUCAGAAAGCCACGGCUAACUACGUG